GUGCAAUAUACGGCAGUAUGACACAGAGAGCACACGCCCUCUUGGCCUGUCCAACUAAGUGCCAGCAGACGCGGUUAGACUUAGGGGCCAAGCCUUUAUGAGCAAAGGGGCGUAAAGGGUGUGUAGGCCNGACCGCCCCACCCCCCCAAGGUGGUAAAUGGAAUUUUUCUGUAGCGGUAGAAUGUGCGGAUAGAAAAUAGAACCCCAAAAGCUGAAGCAAUUUACCGCGGGGCGGGAGGGGGGGGCCCCCUGGGGCGCCCCCCCGGGCUACGGGCUGAAACACGAGGGUGUGGGGAACAAACAGGAUUAGAGACCCUGGUAGUCCACACUGUAAACGAUGGAGAAAAUGCGAAUGCAGCCCCGAAAGGCAGCAAUCUCCCGCCUGAGUAGUACGAUCGCAAGAUUAAAAUUCCAAAAAUUUGGCUGUUCACCGUUUCGAUUAGAGGAGCGUGUAGUUUAAUUCGAUAAACCGCGAGAUACCUUACCCAAACUUGAAUCCUUGAGGAUUCCAAGGAAUCCUUAUGGACCGGUAUUGCAUGGCCGUCGUCAGUUCGUGUAUGAAACCUUAAACGGACCCAACCCGAGGAUUAGCCGCGGAUGAAGUCAGGUCUUAUGGUCCCAAUGUUUGGGGAUAAUAUGCGCUACAUUUUCUUAUACAAUGGGAAACCUGGGAGGUGAAACCCAAAAGUGAGAGUUCGGUAGGCUAUUGGAAGAUGGCCGAAAGUUGAAUUUAAUAGUAAUCGGAAAGUAUAGCGUUCCGGUGAAAUGAUCUAGGUGUUAGCACAAAUCGCCCGUCACCUUAACUUAGGAUGA
Molecule: ribosomal RNA, 813 nt
Filed under: Palythoa caribaeorum
Lineage: Eukaryota; Metazoa; Cnidaria; Anthozoa; Zoantharia; Sphenopidae
Description: partial small subunit ribosomal RNA
Rfam family: Bacterial small subunit ribosomal RNA
Source: RNAcentral